ACGGCUCAGUAACACGUAGUCAACAUGCCCAGGGGACGUGGAUAACCUCGGGAAACUGAGGAUAAACCACGAUAAGUCACUACUUCUGGAAUGGGUAAUGACUCAAAUCUACAUGGCCCCUGGAUUGGACUGCGGCCGAUCAGGCUGUUGGUGAGGUAAUGGCCCACCAAACCUGUAACCGGUACGGGCUCUGAGAGGAGGAGCCCGGAGAUGGGCACUGAGACAAGGGCCCAGGCCCUAUGGGGCGCAGCAGGCGCGAAACCUCUGCAAUAGGCGAAAGCCUGACAGGGUUACUCUGAGUGAUUUCCGUUAAGGAGAUCUUUUGGCACCUCUAAAAAUGGUGCAGAAUAAGGGGUGGGCAAGUCUGGUGUCAGCCGCCGCGGUAAUACCAGCACCCCGAGUGGUCGGGACGUUUAUUGGGCCUAAAGCAUCCGUAGCCGGUUCUACAAGUCUUCCGUUAAAUCCACCUGCUUAACAGAUGGGCUGCGGAAGAUACUAUAGAGCUAGGAGGCGGGAGAGGCAAGCGGUACUCGAUGGGUAGGGGUAAAAUCCGUUGAUCCAUUGAAGACCACCAGUGGCGAAGGCGGCUUGCCAGAACGCGCUCGACGGUGAGGGAUGAAAGCUGGGGGAGCAAACCGGAUUAGAUACCCGGGUAGUCCCAGCUGUAAACGAUGCAGACUCGGUGAUGAAUUGGCUUUAUGCCAACUCAGUGCCGCAGGGAAGCCGUUAAGUUUGCCGCCUGGGGAGUACGGUCGCAAGACUGAAACUUAAAGGAAUUGGCGGGGGAGCAC
Molecule: ribosomal RNA, 791 nt
Filed under: uncultured archaeon
Lineage: Archaea
Description: bacterial SSU rRNA
Rfam family: Archaeal small subunit ribosomal RNA
Source: RNAcentral